This 430-nucleotide ribosomal RNA is filed under the name bacterium. RNAcentral's name for it is "partial 16S ribosomal RNA". It matches the Rfam family "Bacterial small subunit ribosomal RNA", at positions 355 to 776 of the family's 1533-position model. The record is from RNAcentral.
UGGGGAAUAUUGGUCAAUGGGCGCAAGCCUGAUCCAGCCAUGCCGCGUGUGUGAAGAAGGCCUUUCGGUUGUAAAGCACUUUAAGCGAGGAGGACGCUACUUGGAUUAAUACUCUAGGAUAGUGGACGUUACUCGCAGAAUAAGCACCGGCUAACUCUGUGCCAGCAGCCGCGGUAAUACAGAGGGUGCGAGCGUUAAUCGGCUUUACUGGGCGUAAAGCGUGCGUAGGCGGCUUUUUAAGUCGGAUGUGAAAUCCCUGAGCUUAACUUAGGAAUUGCAUUCGAUACUGGGAAGCUAGAGUAUGGUAGAGGAUGGUAGAAUUCCAGGUGUAGCGGUGAAAUGCGUAGAGAUCUGGAGGAAGACCGAUGGCGAAGGCAGCCAUCUGGCCUAAUACUGACGCUGAGGUACGAAAGAAUGAGGAGCAAACAGG